RNAcentral lists this transfer-messenger RNA (321 nucleotides) under Actinomycetes bacterium. RNAcentral's name for it is "Actinobacteria bacterium partial transfer-messenger RNA". It matches the Rfam family "transfer-messenger RNA". From Rfam's summary of the family: Bacterial tmRNA, also known as 10Sa RNA or SsrA, is named for its dual tRNA and mRNA-like properties. The record is from RNAcentral. Lineage: Bacteria; Bacillati; Actinomycetota; Actinomycetes.
GGGGGUGACCGGUUUCGAUAUGGCAGUUCUGAGAGAGGAAGCAGGCCGAGGUCUCCUCACCUCGCUAAACAGGGGUAAACGACGCGCAAGCGCCAACAACGAUCUCGCCCUCGCCGCCUAGACAGCGGUGAGCGUCGCCCGGCACGAGUCCCCGGUGCCGGAUGCGACGUCAUCAGGGGACUACCGGGGCCGCUGACGCGGGUAUGCGGCCAGGGAACGUGAUCUCGCUGGGGAAGGGCACGCUCGUCACGGUGUGUAGCCCGACCCGAGACCUCAAACCGUGACUGAGCCUGGAGACGCCUCUCAGGGAGCUGGCAUACA